GAAAUCUGUGAUUUUUCUGGUCUGUGUCCUGUGGAGCGGGGGUGAUGGGGCUUCUGAAUUAGUGACAACACAUUGCUACCUCCAUGGCUGGGCACAAUCACGGGGCCUGCUGAGGAGGAGAGCAACAGCCCCUGAGGGCCAGAAACUGGCCUGGCAUCAUGAGGCCACCCUUUUGCUGGGAGCUGGCCUGGCACCCACACCAGACCUGGGUGUUUCCUGUUGAACAUAAAUGUCAGCAUCAGACAGGCCACUUCAUGACCGUGAUGGACUGAGAUAAAAACAAGCCUACUUCAUAACCACAUCUGAACUCCAGCAUAAGCAAGAACAUUACCAAACACAAAACCAGCCAACCGUUCCCCUCCCUUCGCAUCUUGGCUAAUGUGCGAGACACCUAUGUCUCUACCAGUU
Non-coding RNA from Callorhinus ursinus (northern fur seal), 408 nucleotides. NCBI's taxonomy places the organism in Eukaryota, Metazoa, Chordata, Mammalia, Carnivora, Otariidae. The record is from RefSeq and is a predicted model, not a curated record.